UUAACAUCAUUUAUUAACAUUUAUUAUGUGGGAAUGAGACCUUUUUCAUAAGUACAUGGCACUAUAUACAUUCCAGAGGAAGGACCACUGUCUACACAUGGUGUCAGGGGAGGGGUAGGGAGACAGGACACAGUCAGGAGGGGUAGGGGAGACAGGACACCGUCAGGAGGGGUAGGGGAGACAGGACACAGUCAGGAGGGGUAGGGGGACACAGACACAGUCAGGAGGGGUAGGGAGACAGGACACAGUCAGGAGGGGUAGGGGAGACAGGACACAGUCAGGAGGGGUAGGGGGACACAGAGGGGUAGGGAGACAGGACACAGUCAGGAGGGGUAGGGGGACACGGAGGGGUAGGGAGACAGGACACAGUCAGGAGGGGUAGGGAGACAGGACACCGUCAGCGGGGUAGGGGAGACAAGAC
Oncorhynchus tshawytscha (Chinook salmon) is the source of this 421-nucleotide long non-coding RNA. The record is from Ensembl. NCBI's taxonomy places the organism in Eukaryota, Metazoa, Chordata, Actinopteri, Salmoniformes, Salmonidae.